Molecule: long non-coding RNA, 9420 nt
Filed under: Daucus carota (carrot)
Lineage: Eukaryota; Viridiplantae; Streptophyta; Magnoliopsida; Apiales; Apiaceae
Description: long non-coding RNA (DCAR_LNC003834)
Source: RNAcentral
AAUCUCCAUCGAGCUUGAACAAGAGCAAUUUUAGAAUUGUGCAUGAGAAACGGGAUGGAUCGCCUCAGAAAAUCAGGUUCUGGUCGAAAAUCAGCAUCGAAAAUGGCAACGUAUUCGCAAUCUUUAACGUAAUCUCUUUUUAAUCCUUCUUUGAGAGCACCAGCUUUGUAUCCUCCCCUUGUUUCUCUGAUUUGGUAGGUAACGUUUAAGCCUUUGGCUGCCCACCUUUUGCAUUCCUUCUCAACUAAAUCCUGCGGCAUUAGUUAUAAUUACUAAAACGCUUAAUCAACAUUUAUCGAAUGAUGAAUCGAGCUAUAUUAAGUUGAACUUGGAAUUACCUUGAUAAUAGGGUCAGUUGAAUCAUCAAGAACUUGAAUAACGAGACGAUCUGCAGGCCAUGAGAGGUUACAUGCAGCUCCAAUUGAGAUCUUGUAAACCUGCAAAGAAAAUAACAAGUUUUACACAAGAACAAUAGACAAAUAUUAACAGAGCAUAAUACACCAAUUGCGAAAAUCAAGUAAUGUGAUAAAACUAACCUCUCUUUCAUUGAACAUAGGAAUCUGAAUAAGAACCAAUGGAAAAGUAGAGCUUCCAGCUUCCAAAUCUUCCUUCAUGGGCUCCCAGUUGUAUCUUUUCUCCGGCUUUUGCCAGAAGAGUUUCACCAGAACAAUGACUAUACCCAUGUAUAAUCUCUCGGCAAACAACAUGAGUUCCAUAACUAAACAUACAACCACUGCAAAUUUCAGCAAUGGUACAAUCAGUGGGACUCUAAUGAGCUCCCAGAGUAAUCCAAUUUGUGAAGUUAAAUCCACUGUUGUUCCCUGAAAUGCCUGCGGCAUGAAACUAUUUGCAGAAACUUCAGCCAUUUUUUCUACUAAAAACAGAGGAAAAAACAGGGGAAAACAGAGUAAAAAACAGGGGAGCUAAAUAGCAACCACUAGAUCUGUUAAUGCAAUCAAACCAUUUUGUGGGUAUGUGUAGAUUUUGUCUGUGAUGCUAUACAACAAUGUGGGUGAUAUUUGAGUGAAGCAUUUUUAGCUCUAUCUCAAGUGGGCUAUAUUAGAUCUCUGUUUUUCUCUGAAUCACACAUAAUAGAAGAAGAGGCAGAGCAGGAUUGCUGCACUGUCUAAACAGAGAGUAAAGAGAGUGAGUAAUGGAGAGAGAGAAGUGUGCUCAUUUAUAAUCCUUUUUUCCCUUUAGUCUAUCUCCGUAUUUUUUUUUUUAAAUUUUACUGCUCAUUUCUGACUUUGUUUUGGCCGGUUGCUUCUUAGUCUUGUAGUUAUUAUUAUUGAAUUGUUUGCAAUUUUUCAUGGAAUUCGUGUCGAAUCAAAUUUAUUCAAAAUGUACGCAGAUGUUAGGAAUUUAAGUCAAAUCAAUUAUAUUCAGUAUUUCGUCCUAUACAUAUAUGAAAUGAGUAAACUUUAUUUACGAUAAGAAUGGAAUAGACAGAGUAUUUCCGUAAGAAUCCAUAAUAUUAGAUACGAAGAUUAUUUAUAGAAAAAAAUAGGUGAACUGAAGAAAUAAAAAUGUCGGUAACCAUAAUGUGAGAUGGGGCUAUGCUUAGCAGCAAUAGAAGAAGAUGGGGCAUCAAAUGAUGAAUCAUAUAGAGCCAGCUAGAGAUGUAUAGAUAAAAAUAAAGCAAAUGGGUGCACACUGCACACACAUAUAAUUGGCUUUUAGUGUAGUCUUCCAUGUUCCAUCCAUUUAACUCAUAUGUUCAUACUUAUGUAACAACAAUCACAAAGUUACAGUCCAGAACACACAUGAGUUGUUCCAUGAUUUUAGGUGUGUUUACAUGUGGGCAAAACUUGGAGCCUGCUUGCAUUAAGAUGCUCUUCGAUCAAUAUCUUCAAUCAUGCGCUAAAAAUAAAUAAUUCAUAUUUUAAACAAAAAUUUCUGAUCAUUAUAUAAGAAAAGUUUUAAUUGUAAUGAGACAUUAUUGUUAUAUACGAUUUUAAGGGAUUGUGCUGUUGGCGGGGUGGUAUGCGAUUAGAAUAAGGAAUCAGAUUAAGAUUAAGGCGGUAUCCAUCUAUUUGGUUGAGUAUUGAAAUCAAUAUAUUUAUUAUUGUUCAAAAAAUAAGUUAUUAAUUUAUAUCACUAGAGACUGAGUUUUACAAAAUAUAGUUUUAUAAUUUAUUUUAAAAUUUUGAUUAAAAAUUUGAAUAUUAAAAAUUUUUUUAGAGAAAAAAUUAAAAUAAUUUAUGGAACUAUAUUUUACAAGAGACAAAUAUGUGUCGAAUUCUAUUUCCCGAACAAUUUUUUUUUUAGUUAUAUGUUAGGUGGGUAGUGGGUACAGGCAGGGUACUGAACUACUGUCUACUCAUGCAUAAUACAUAAGUACAUUUUGGCAUCCUGUUUAAAUUUACUCAAACACAGUGAUACAUCUUUUUCCUCCCUCCGGCAAAUACCAGGCUUCUCCAUCGAGGUAUCGACUGAUUUUUUCACUCUAAAUCUUCAAUUUCAUAAUAUGAUUCAUCUCCAAAAUUCUCUAUUAAAAAUUCGCAAUUUGAAAAAGAAAAAACAGAGCUUUUAAGCUGUUCGAUAAAAUGUCACAGUGAAUUUUGUUGGAUAUAGUUUGAUAUAAAUCAAGCGUUUUUUUAAUUUCAUCAACAUAUGUUAAAAGCGUGACACACCAUAGUCUACAUCCUGUAUCCGCCACUGGAUUAGAGGACAGGAGAUAACGACGUGUAGCUUUUACAGGCAUGAAUGAUCAGGCCCGAUACAAGUCAUUCUAGAUUUUAGAACAAGUGGCCACUGCUGCGUGCCUGCGUCCAUGCGAAGUGGUAGCAAUGAACCAAAUGCUUGUCAAGACUGAAGAUACUAUGGGAAUAAAUUGCAAAUAAUUUGAGUUGCAUAGAAAUUGAAAGGAACUGGAGUUGAUAAUAUUGAAAUGAGCAAGUUGAUUAAAGAUGGUCAUCUUGAAAAUAGCUUUUCAGUUAGAGGUAUUUCAGGCGCAAUUUGAGCUCGGAAACUUGAGCCUACAUUUUCAGUCAAAUUGUUCGGCGCAUCAUUUAGCAGGGGAAAAAAAAAAUUGUUCGGCGCAUGCAGCACCUAAAUUCUAUAUUGGUGUUUAUAAGUUAGCAAAAACUCUGUUUUCGUUUGUCUAGAAGUCGGUUCUCGAUUGGUGCUGUAAUUUACGGAGAACCAAUAUAACUUUUUAUUUGAAUUUGAGGUUGAUUAGUACCCAGAAAAGAGAAAUAGAUCAUUUUUUUUGGAAAAUAUGGGUUAUAUGAAAUUCAGUUUACUAAUUGAGAAAUUUGUUGUUCGCCAAAUAUAAUCAGACUUGACUAAAGUUAUGAAUACAGAAAAUGUACGUAUGAAAUGUAAAAUUUUGAAAAGAGUAUAUAUAAUUUUAUUUUUAAUAUAUUUUACUGAGUUGGAGUUGCUCCGAUAAAUUAUGCGGGAAGUCAUCUUUCCACUCUGUUUCGUCUUUAAUCUUCCGAUAACUUGUUAUCAUAUGUGUUUCACAUUUGUUUAACAGAGGAUUGGUAUAUUAAUCCUUCCAUCUCAUCUCAUGUGUUUUCUUUUGAUUACUAGAUAAUCAAUUCUUUUUUUAUCAAAUUUUGCCCAAUAGUUAAGGAAAAUUUAUUAACUAUUCUAAAAAUAAAAAAAAAUGGAUUUUUAAGGUUAUUAGAUUUAUUUUCUAAAUAUAUAAGUUUUCUCAAUCUUUUUAAGUUGGAUAAUAUGUGUAAUUUACUAUCAAAGUUUAUUCUUCAAUAAUUAAAACAUGACAUACACUAUGAAAUGUACGGAGUAUAAUAUUUUGAUAACUUUUAAUAAUAUAUAAUUAAUGCGUAAUUUCCGGUAUCACAAAAGUGGAGAGCCUAAUAAAUAUAAGGACGUCACGUACAAAAUUAUAAUCCAACAACUUGAUUCUUGGAGUCAUUUUCCGUGGGGAGUGGGAUAUGUAUAAACACAAGAGUAGAUGUAAAUAAAUUUGUUAUUACCAGAAAAAGUUAACCAGAAAUAGGCAAGCAAAAGAUAUGAAAAUAGACGGUUGAGUGUUGAGGACCACUCGUAGUGACAAAUCAUAGAUAGUUGAAUAUGAAUUUAUAAUGCCGUGAGACCUGUGAGUGUGAAAACUCGGACAAGUUCGUGGUUUUAUCGGGGUUUGAGUUGAGGCUUGGGAUUUAUUUGGAAAUACCAUUGUGGCUAUUAAUACAAUUGAACUAUAGAAUAUUUACCAUUGAAAUUAACUGAAUUUAUAAGUGCAAGAAACAUUUAUAUUCAAUUAUUAUUAAAACUAUAAAAUAUAAGAGAAAUAUGUAUACAAAUUUCAUUCUAAAAUUUUCAAGUAAUUUUAUGUUGAAAAAAUAACUUCAAUUAAUCAUAACUUAAAAUAAUAAUAAUAAUAAAAAAAUUAAAAAUUAGCAUUAUCCAAAAUACCUUAGCCUCCUGACAGAUCUUUCCAUCUCCUUUUUUUUUCCCAAUGCGCCUUCAGGAGUUCAGGGUCUUCAGUCACUUUUUACUGUGAAAUCUUUAUUUAUUUAUUUUAAAUAAUACUCUUUGUUUGGCCGGGAUUACCAUCUUUUAAAAUUAUUUUAUUUGUUUUAGUUAUUAUUUUUUUGUUGAAUUUUAUUCCCAAUUUAUCUAAAUUUUAUUUUGCUUGGUAACUUUUUUUUUAUAUUUAGUCUAAUUCAAUGUCCUAGAUGCUGUUGAUAGCACAAAUUGACUAUAAUGAAGGGGACAAUAUGCAUAUAUUAACUCGAAUUUCCGCUUGAUUGUCUUUUUCAUGAAAAUCAGAUUAAUCAAUAAUAUAAUUUAUUUUAUAUUUAUUGAAUAUAAUUAUUUUUCAAGUGUUAUAUGAUUCUUCAUUGUUAAAUUAACUCUUUUUCAGAAAAUAUAAGAAUAUAAAUAAUUAUUAUAGCCACCAGUAUAGUACAUUCAAAAUUUAUUUAGUUUUUUAACUAAUAUAUAUUCAUCCUCAUAUAUAAUUUUUUAUAAUGAUAAAUUAGUGAUAUAUAUUAUUUCUUAAAUUAAAGUUAAUUAAAAUUUUAGUGAUUUCUCAUCAUGAUACCAUUUAAAUGAUUUCCAGAGUAGCAACACAAAAGUACGUAGAUAAAAAAUCAGCUGCUAACAAAGAAGGCAUAUUAUAAUGCUAAUAUUAUAUUAUAAAGCUUCGCCCUAUGAUUGUGCAACUUUAAAAGAUUGAAAGGUAAAGUAUCGAUGUAAGCAGAUUUAAGAGUAAAGACAGAUGCAAGAUACUUUGUCCAAUUUUCAAGGUAAAAUGCCUUGGCCAUUACUAGGAGUCUUAAGUGCAUUGUAGAUUUGUAUUUGAUUUCUUUCAAUUAUUAAUUUGCAUGCAAUAUAUCUGUUGCAUUAGAAAAUUCUUCUCGACGAUUCGGCUCCUUUUUCAGUUAUGUUUUGGUUGAAAAACAUUGAUAACAGAGGUCAUACAUAUGCCUUUGUCAUAUGAACAUGACAUUCUAGAACUUGGGUUCAUUUUGUAUAAAAUGAAAUGAGAAAUUAUUGGAAAGUUUUAAAGUGGAAAAAAGUACGAGACAAUAUUGACUAAAACUAUGUCGGUCUAAAAUUAAAUGAUGAAACUUGUAGAGAAAUAAGAUAAAGAAGUUGAACAUUAUUUCUUCUAAAACAUGUGAGUUCGUUUUUAGUUCAAAUUGUUUGGAAUGAUUUUAGAGUAUAAAUUUCAUUCUAUCCAUGUGAAUGCAAACCAAGUCUAACAAAUAAUGAAUCAGUUAUAAUUAUAAUUUUGUAACAGGAAGAAUGAAUCAGUUUGAAAUGAAGCGUAAUCAGAUAAUCCCCUGUACAUUUUGAUGAAAUGGUGAAAGCGAAAGGUAAGAAUAUAAAACUCUUAUGGUGAAAGUAAAAGGUAAGAAUAUAAAACUCUUAAACUCAUCUAACAUAUUAAUAUUCACAGAAAGUAAGGACUAUGAAGAUGGUAAGAAAAUUUUGUGACAAAUUACAAGGUUGAUUCUUCUGACAGUUUAUUUCACUCUUCAAACUGAGAAAAAGCUACAUGUAUAACUGAAGGGAUUUGGUGAACAAAUAAGACAAUAACAAAUGAUAUAAUUCACAAAUAAUAACAUGGAUACUGAUCUAAACUCUGAAGAUACAAUAGCUGCAAUCUAUACUUUUAUCAACCUUUCCUGACUCUUCUGUAUCUACCCUAAAACCAUUACCAAACUGUUUUCUUUUCUAGUUUCUGGCUUCUUCUCUAAGAACCGAUGAACGAAAUCAUUGCUGAACAGAAACACACAUUCUAUAUACGCAUGGAAAGAAGAACGAUGUAGCACGAAGGAUAUGUUGCUGAUGCUUGCUUUGUCUAUUAGGUUGGGACAAUUGUGCCAAUAUAGCCGAAUCCCACAAUUGAAAAGGUUAUUGUCUGGAGGAACAUGUAAACGAAGUAAUUGUUUUUUCCAUAUAGAUAAUCAUAGCAGCCGCAGAAGAAGAGAAAUGCUGUGAAGCCCAGCUCUGUAACAUGUAUCCUGAAAACACAUCACAGGAGUUGGAAAGGGGAACCAGUAGUUACAAAUCAAUGUUAUAAACAAGGAUGUACAUUUUACUCUACUGAUAGAGAUGUGCUGAUGAUGAUCACAUAUGCUAUGUUAAGAACUCAGAACGACUCUAAAUGUUGUCACUAGAACUGAAUGCACAUUUUUAAGUAUUAUUACCUGUCUCCUAUAUUGAAGUUGAACUGGAACUUCUUGUUCGAUUUGCUGUUUUUGUUCUUAAGACCAUCUCCUAGUUUCUCAGUCACAACCCAUUCAUUAGCUCUUUUUGCUUCAAAUAAACCAAUGAAGGUUGCCUUGGUGCGGUGGAAAGACAUGACAUUUUCAAACAAAAUCCAGUAAAACAAUAAAUGGAUUGACCUGCAAAAUCCAGUUCAACAAACUAAGGGAAAAGAUAAAAUUUUAAAAGGUCUCAGAUAUAUUAGAAAAGAAGUUCCCGGACCUUGGUGUUCCAACUGAAUUGAGAGUGGUGAUAAUGCAAGGAAUGUAAAUGGCUCCCCAUUUUGGAACAUCGAUUUCAGGAACCAUGAUGGUUAAUGGAAGGACGACGCAGAAAAAGAAAAAUGUGACCAUAUGAGCUAUGAUCUUCCUCACAAAGAAGAAGCUGUAUAUUACAUAAACCUUCUUCCAGAAGUUCACUUUCUGCAACAAUCAGCACAAAAUAUAAAGAUAUAUUGUUAAUACUGUUUCGGUUUAGAUAGAAUCAGAAUUGUGACACUAUAGUGUAGUAAACAUGCCUUGUUCCUCACGAUUUCCAUCACCAUUUUCCUGAACAAAUUAGCAGGACCACACGACCAUCUAUGUUGUUGAUACCGGAAGGCUUUGAAAGUACUAGGAAGUUCACUUUUUACCUGUGGUAAAAUUAUCACAUAAAAACUGUUAUAAGCUAAAAGAACUGAUCUUUAAGUUGUUAUGAAAUAUAUGAUGUAUCAUACAAUGCAAAAUCACAUAAGAAGUAUUAGGUACCUGAAGAUCACCAAGAUAAACGAAUUUCCAGCCCCUAAGACUAGCUCGGACAGCAAGAUCCAUAUCUUCGACUGUUGUUCGAUCCUUCCACCCACCUGCUUCAUUGAUAGCAGCAAUUCUCCAUAUACCACCCGUCCCUGUACAAUGGUAGAAUUAAGAAAAAACUGCCAGGCCUGUAAUAAAUUACAGGGAGUGUUCAUAAUAAUGCAUAAAGAAGACAUCCUAAACUCAUAAAUUUUGAAACUUUGGUUGGCCAAUCUAUCAGUGCUUCACAAGCAGUAUUUGACUUGAAGGGAUUGGACCACAGACCUAAAAACUCAACAAGUGAUCAAGUCUGGAUAUUAAUAAUCAAAAUGGACCAUUGUCUCUAUGGUCUUGGGCAUAAGAGUCACAUGUCAUGAUUGUUUUUAGAAUCCAAAGUAUCUACAAAAAUUGAGUCAGGGUUUAUUCUUGUAGAUGGCAAGUCAGGGUCUGCCACCAGAGUAUGAAACUGUCAAGUUAAUUGAGAAGUUGGGACAAGUAAACAUAGGCAGUAACUGUUAAAACAUUUUGUCAAGUCAUAUUUUUUGUAGUGUGCAUCGUUCUUAUUUUUUUUCUUUUCCUGUUGGGUAUUUACAUACAAAGGAGGCAAAUGACAAUUCGAACUCAUUAUUGUAAUCAUUCAGGGAGGAAGUGUUUUUGAGUAAGCUUAUAAGCUAAUAGAGUGGUAUCAAGACAAAAGGACGGCAAAUGUUAAUAAUGGAAGCUGAAAUAUAAGUACCAUUGAAACCAAAGAAGGCAUGAGUAGCUGAUCCUACUUCUUGCUCCACUGUAAAAUGAUAAUCCAGUGACAUCUCUUGCAUUCUUGUCAUCAAGCAUUCAUCAGAAUUCACUGCAAUAUUAAUCACACUUAUUCCCUUGAUAUUUCAUGUAUAAAAAACAGCUUUUUUUAACACCAGUUAUAUCAGACCAAAUUAUCAAAUAGAAAAAAAUAGACAGUCAGACACAUCAUAUACUAUAUACUCAUGUAUACAGAUGCAUAUAAAAUGUUUAUUGUGGAAGACCAUAGGCCUAAGUGUCGGUGAGCCAAUCAUCUCUCAAGUUGACAAACUUACCUCUGAAAUCUAUACACUUUCUCUGCCGAUUUAUCCGGGGAAGAACUUUGUUUUCUACCUCAAAAAUAAUAGUUUUUCUUACACCAAUAUAAUAUUACCGGUCAACAAAAUUUGAUACCUCAAGCAGAAAGAAACAAUUCUAUAAUAAAACUACUUCUUAAUAUUGGAAAUUUUGGUAGGACAAUGUAAAAAAAGGGGAAGAUGCAGGAGUGGUUCUACAAACUACCAACACCUUGAGAGGUCCAGACAAUCAUAUUGAGACAGUCAAAUUGGCCCACUCCACCUGCAGUGUAUUUCAGGGAAUCCCCACUUCACCAUGCCAACAGGUUAAAACAAAUUUAACAAACGUUCGAAAGUACGCUGUGACGGAUGAGAUGCAAACAAAAUUUAAAUGUUUCGAAAAUUAUUCGUUUUAUAGGAACCUACAAAAACCUUCACUGUCUAAAAUAUCUUACUGAAAACAUGACACAGUCCUGCUUUAAGAAUCUUCUCAUUCUCAAAGGUAAAACGGGUGACACACUAAACCACCGACACUCUUAAAAUGAUAGCAGAAACAUAAUAUGAUAGAAACAACAAGAAGUAGUUAUAGUGGAAAAUUUUAAGACCGUGACACUGCUUAAUUUGAUUAGUUGGUUAGUAGGUUUACCGAAUCUCCAUCUAGCUUGAACAAGCGCAAUUUUGGAAUUGUGCAUGAGGAACGGGAUGGAUCGCCGCAGAAAAUCAGGUUCUGGCCGGAAAUCAGCAUCGAAAAUGGCAACAUAUUCGCAAUCUUUAACGUAAUCUCGUUUUAAUCCUUCUUUGAGAGCACCAGCUUUGUAGCCUCCCCUUGUUUCUCUGAUUUGGUAGGUAAUGUUCAAGCCUUUGGCUGCCCACCUUUUGCACUCUUUCUC